This 253-nucleotide ribosomal RNA is filed under the name uncultured bacterium. RNAcentral's name for it is "partial 16S ribosomal RNA". It matches the Rfam family "Bacterial small subunit ribosomal RNA", at positions 524 to 776 of the family's 1533-position model. The record is from RNAcentral.
UACGGAGGGUGCGAGCGUUAAUCGGAAUUAUUGGGCGUAAAGGGUGCGUAGGUGGAAAUAUAAGUUAGUUGUGAAAUACCUGGGCUCAACCUAGGGAUAUAGACUAAUACUGUAUAACUAGAGUAUAGGAGAGGGUAGUGGAAUUUCCGGUGUAGCGGUGAAAUGCGUAGAUAUCGGAAGGAACACCGGUGGCGAAGGCGGCUACCUGGCCUGAUACUGACACUGAAGCACGAAAGCGUGGGGAGCGAACAGG